GUGCCUAACACAUGCAAGUCGAACGAGAAAGUAGCAAUACGAGUAAAGUGGCGAACGGGUGAGUAACACGUAGGUAAUCUACCUUAAAGUGGGGAACAACGUUUCGAAAGAGACGUUAAUUCCGCAUGUGGAUCCAAAACGAUGGUUUUGUAUCUAAAGGGGGGUCGCAAGGCCUCUCGCUUUUUGAUGAGCCUGCGUCCCAUUAGCUAGUUGGUAGGGUAAUGGCCUACCAAGGCGACGAUGGGUAGCUGGUCUGAGAGGACGGCCAGCCACACUGGAACUGACACACGGUCCAGACUCCUACGGGAGGCAGCAGUGGGGAAUAUUGCGCAAUGGAGGAAACUCUGACGCAGCGACGCCGCGUGGGUGAUGAAGGCCUUCGGGUUGUAAAGCCCUGUCGGCUGGGAAAAAGGCAAACGUGCUAAUACCACGUUUGCUUGAUGGUACCAGCAAAGGAAGCACCGGCUAACUCUGUGCCAGCAGCCGCGGUAAUACGUAGGGUGCAAGCGUUGUCCGGAUUUACUGGGUUUAAAGGGUGCGUAGGCGGUU
This 549-nucleotide ribosomal RNA is filed under the name uncultured delta proteobacterium. Its description in RNAcentral is "bacterial SSU rRNA". It matches the Rfam family "Bacterial small subunit ribosomal RNA", at positions 44 to 580 of the family's 1533-position model. The record is from RNAcentral. Lineage: Bacteria; Deltaproteobacteria.